This 278-nucleotide long non-coding RNA is filed under the name Phoenix dactylifera (date palm). Its description in RNAcentral is "long non-coding RNA (PDAC_LNC012896)". The record is from RNAcentral. Lineage: Eukaryota; Viridiplantae; Streptophyta; Magnoliopsida; Arecales; Arecaceae.
CACGGUGGCCCUCUGUCAAUUAUGGUGGAAGAAGGGGGGGUUCUUUGUCUUAGGGAAGAAAAAGAAGGCAGAGGGCCUUCCGACCUCUGCCGACUUUUUCUUUCAUCCCUCCCUCUCUUGGCCGGCCAUCAUCGCCGGAGUGGUGGCCGAUGAUGGUUCGACCAAUGGUGGCCGAGUUGUUGUCGGGUUGGGGAAGGAGAGGGCACAGCCACCAUGGCUGUUGCCCUUGGAUCAAAAAGAUUUGAGGAAGAGAGAUGUACUCCCAACCAUGAAGAGAG